UUUCCAUGCUAGUCCCCUCUUCUCUUCUCUCUCAACCUUGUCCUGCCUCCGAAGAAAAAUUUCUUACCUCUCCAUAUCCACUGGAUUUCUUACAGAAACUAACAGAUCUUCAUGAAAAAGAACACUACACCAUGAACCAGGAAGAAAAACCAUUUCCUUCUUCACUCCAGAUCUAUUUGUAUCACUAUGUUCGAUUUAAAACCAUUUUCUUCAAUCUCAACUCAAAACCAGUCUUCUUAACCAUUUCCUUUUUCAUCUUUGUUGUUUGUGUGGUAUUAAUAGUUCUUCUUAUUGGAACCAAAGUUACGAUUUAAAUGAGUUUUUAGAAGACGAACAAUCAGCCUCAGUUGGAUUUCUUGAACUUCUUCAGCUUCAUCCGACUUGCUUUACGGAAAAGGAUUGUUUGAGUAAGCUGUGGUGUUAUGUGCUUCAGUGCUUUAGGUUGCAUCCAAAGGAUAUGGGUUUGUUGUGUUCUGUACACGUGCAGCAGCUGAGGAAGUUUUGCAGACCUAUAAUGGCUCCGCAAUACAGAACAACCUUUAGAUUGAACUGGGCUCAUUUAGCAUGAGAGAUAAGCGUUCAGAUGUUGGUUCUGAACGUUCUAUAUAUGUAGAAGAUUUGGCUUAUGAUGUUAUAGAUACAUUAUUGCAGAAAUCUUUUGGAUUGUAUUUUUUUGUGUGUGUAGACUUUGUCUUGGAUACGCAUUCCUUGGUGGACAUGGGCAGGAGGUUCGAAAAAUUAUCAAUGAGCUCAGUCAAGCAAUAAGAAAGAACCCUCUCAUGUCCCUGAUCUCGCCGUGCCAGAUACUAUAACACCUAUUGUGGAGGAUCUCAGUAAUGGUGUUGAAGUUCAUCAUCAUCUGAACAAUUAGGAAGAGGUAGUUGUGCAGGAAGAGGUUGAGGAGCCUCCUCAAGUUCAAUCAAUGCAAAUUGAAGUUCGGAAAAUGACAGAGCCUGCUGGGCCUGUGGUGCAAGAGGUUGCUUCAAAGAAAUCAUAUGAAGCCCUGGUUCAAGCUGAAAGUUUCAAAUGGUACGGCUGCAGAUGCAGAUCAAUUGCUUGCUCAUUGGAUUUAUAAGCUUUAUCUGGAGCAACUGAUCCAAUUCUGAAUUUCGUAGUCUAUAUGCAAAUCAGCAUGCGAAGACGAAUGUACUAAAAUGCUCUGUUCUUACCAUGAAUUUGUGUAGGCAAGUGUUCUGCAAGUGGUACUUCUAUUUUGCCGUAAAUAACUUCAGCAUGUGGGGAAAUUCAUGGGGGUGCAUGUGCAUUAGUUAAACCAAUGCUGGAGUGCCCAUCUUAUUGCUGUUGCAGAGAACACUGGAGCUGAGGAUCCCGAUGAUCCCUACACCAUGGGAAGGUGUUCUUUCACCUCUAUAUAUUGUAGUUUGAUGUUUUGAAUAUAUUUUGGAUAUUUUGAAUGUUAAAUGAGUUAAAUAUUAGUAUCAAAAUGAAGUUUAUGUUUAUUUUUUCAUGAUA
Molecule: long non-coding RNA, 1473 nt
Organism: Papaver somniferum (opium poppy)
Lineage: Eukaryota; Viridiplantae; Streptophyta; Magnoliopsida; Ranunculales; Papaveraceae
Exons: 7
Source: RefSeq, a predicted model, not a curated record